CGAAGGUGGCGACCGUUGUUCGGAAUCACUGGGCAUAAAGAGCACGUAGGCGGCAAGGUAUGUCGGGUGUGAAAUCCCUCGGCCUAACCGAGGAAUUGCGCCCGAAACUACCUUGCUUGAGGAUGGAAGGGGAGCGUGGAAUUCCUGGUGGAGCGGUGAAAUGCGUUGAUAUCAGGAGGAACACCGGCGGCGAAGGCGACGCUCUGGUCCAUUACUGACGCUGAGGUGCGAAAGCCAGGGGAGCAAACGGGAUUAGAUACCCCGGUAGUCCUGGCCGUAAACGAUGGGCACUAGGUAGGGGGGUACCCAAUGCCUCCCUGCUGGAGUUAAUAUAUUAAGUGCCCCGCCUGGGGAGUAUAGUCGCAAGGCUG
This 371-nucleotide ribosomal RNA is filed under the name uncultured organism. RNAcentral's name for it is "bacterial SSU rRNA". It matches the Rfam family "Bacterial small subunit ribosomal RNA", at positions 526 to 896 of the family's 1533-position model. The record is from RNAcentral.